This 2206-nucleotide long non-coding RNA is filed under the name Triticum aestivum (bread wheat). RNAcentral describes it as "long non-coding RNA (TAES_LNC001582)". The record is from RNAcentral. Lineage: Eukaryota; Viridiplantae; Streptophyta; Magnoliopsida; Poales; Poaceae.
UCAGAGAGCUGGGUCGUCGCGUUUGACGACCAUCUCCUCCACAGUUUUCCUCGUCGAUCUCGUAUUCUCCAAUCACCCGGGUCUGGCUUUAGCAUGUCUGUUAAUUUUCGCCAUUUUACUUUCAUUUUUAAAUUGCCAAUAAUAUAUUUUUCUUUUUCAUACGGGAUGUGAUAUAUUUCAAUUAUUGGAUCUGCGACACAGGAUAGAGGUCAGCAUGCCUGGUAUGGUCGAUGCGCCACAUCUAUGCAUCGUUCCUACUUCCUCCAUAAUGCCCAAUUCUUCACAGGUUUGUUUCCCCUUCUAAUUUAAUUAAAAAGUAUAUAAUUUUGUAUUUGCUGAAACAACAUAUUAGCAAGUUAUAUAACUCAUAUGUUUAUUGUUUAUUUAAGACAAAGUAAAAACUCUUGCAUGUUUUAACUAAAAUUUGCUUCAUAUGCUUUAAUUAACAUGCACCCAAUUCUCAAUUGGCUUAAUGGGUGUAGGUCAUACUUGUGAUGCCUCUAGGUGAAUCGACACAUAAAUACCUAAUGUCGGUCUUUGCUUCUAGUGGAAAAUUUGGCCUGUAGAGUUAUUUGUACGAAUUAGCACUGUGUGAGUUAUUGUUCCGUGUGCAUUCAUAGGAUCUUUGCUUAUUCUUGCAGCCUCCCUCACAAGGGUAGUAGUCAUGAUUCUCACACUCACUGAUAUACAUCCGUAUGUAGUCCAUAUUGAAAUCUCUAAAAGGACUUGUAUUUAGGAACGGAGCAAGUAUAAUAGAAACAUUCCUGUUCGAAUUAGUAGAUUUCUCAAAUCAAUGAACACAUAGUCCUAAAAAUUACCAAGAAAAUCAAAGUUCACAUUUUGAAGAAAUUGUUAGACAUAUAUAAGUCAAGUAAGAAUGUAAGAUGAUGUUAUAACAUAUAUGACUAAAUUGUGACUACCUGAUCUAUCUAUUUUUUUUGCCUCAUCUAAGGAAGUUCUUGUAACGCCCUUCCGUAAAACAUUUGCUCUUCUAGUGUGCGUUGUAGUACUUCUAUCAAUAUCGAUCAUUUUUGGUAAAGAUUCUUCCGCUGGGUGCCUAUAUAUAUGGAGUGACAUUUAGUCAUAGUUAAUUAGUCAAUAAAUCAGAAUAGCUGGUGUUUCAUACCAGUUAAGAAGUUCCCGAGGUUUGGGUAUAUCGAGAUCGGUAUAUACUCAUGUGGCACUGCUUGACUAUAGGCACAAAUGUAUCAAGUAGAAAUCUGUUAAAUAUUUUAUUUUUGUAAAUAACAUAUCAGGUUUUAAAAUUGUUGAACUUACCAUUGUUGAGGUCACACAGACACUUUGGUUAUCGAUGAAUAUGUAUAACAUAAACCUGCUCAUCCAUAUAGAUCACAUCAAGGCUAAUAAGUUCAUCGAUUGGAGGAUUAUUGUAUCCCAUGUUCCCAUUAGUUUCACUUAAACAUCCCAGUUUUGGUAUCUUGUUGAAGUCUCUUAGUUUCUUGUAUUCCCAUUGCUUCAAAAGGAUUGAAAAUGUACUUGUCAAUUGAUAAUGUUCAUAUGAAGAUUUUUGCUGAAGAAAUUGAGUUCAUAGUAAUAAUACUUACUAACCUUGUUGAUUCAGGUGAGAAGGAAACUUGGAUGGUUGGGUGUGACUUAUGUAGAAAGGAGUUGCAUGCCACUUCAUAAUUUGGGCCGCCUUUGAUAUUGCCUGAGCACCAAGUCUGAAGAUCUCGCAUCAUAGAGAGUUCGCUUCAAUUGUCCUGGUGGUGGGAUCGUCGAGUCUCGGCGUCGUACAGUUGGUUGGCUUCAAUUUUCCUAGUCAUGGUGCUGAGUCGUGAGUUGCUGGGUGUCUUAGAUUUCCAGGCGGAUGGUGGGCGUGUGCUGGGUGCUGGGUGCGGCCAGCUGUGUAUUUUGAUGUAUGAGUUCUGGCUGUGCCCUUAUGGAGUCCUUGUAUGCUUAUUAUUUUUCUUCCAAUUAAAGCCUAUAUGUGACAAUAGGUUGAUGGAUGCGGCCAAUUUUGUAUUUUUAUGGGGACUCUGUCCGUAAGCACUCUUUGUAUGUGUUUACGUGUCCUUGGCUUACCGAGUGUCCGAGUUAUGUAUGUGUCCUUUAGAGUCCCGAUUAGGAAUUGCACGUGACAAUAGUUGGACAUGUAACGCCUUUAUAUAAUAUAUUAGUGGAAGAGAUAAUUAUUUUGUGUUGUGUUUUUUGGCUUCCUUCUACGAUUAUGUUGACGAGCCUUAUG